This 300-nucleotide long non-coding RNA is filed under the name Phoenix dactylifera (date palm). Its description in RNAcentral is "long non-coding RNA (PDAC_LNC017437)". Lineage: Eukaryota; Viridiplantae; Streptophyta; Magnoliopsida; Arecales; Arecaceae. The record is from RNAcentral.
UUGAGGAUUUUUCUUUUUUUUUUGUUGUUGUGGUUGGAGAGGGGGGAGCCCGCGUGUGCGUCAUCGCGCGCCCUAAGGGGGUGCUCCGACCGCGGGCAGUCGUCAUCGCGGGGCGAGCCGCGCCUCCCCUCGCGACGGGGCACGACGGCGCGAGCGGGGUACCAGCGAGACGCUACCGAAAGCCCGCGGAGAACGAUCGCCGCGAGGGCAACGAGCUCGUGGAGAGCUCUCGCUCCGCUUCGGGCCGCGGCGGAGGGGAGGGGAGCAACGCGGCCGCCUUCCGCUCGGAUAAGAUCAAGU